Molecule: ribosomal RNA, 508 nt
Filed under: uncultured bacterium
Lineage: Bacteria
Description: partial 16S ribosomal RNA
Source: RNAcentral
GGAGUUAGCCGGUGCUUCUUCUGUGAGUGAUGUCCUUCCUGCCGGUUAUUGACCCGCAGGCCUUCUUCCUCACUGAAAGUGCUUUACAACCCGAAGGCCUUCUUCACACACGCGGCAUGGCUGGAUCAGGGUUGCCCCCAUUGUCCAAUAUUCCCCACUGCUGCCUCCCGUAGGAGUCUGGGCCGUGUCUCAGUCCCAGUGUGGCUGAUCAUCCUCUCAGACCAGCUACGGAUCGUCGCCUUGGUCGAGCCGUUACCUCACCAACCAGCUAAUCCGACAUAGGCUCAUCCGAUAGCGCGAGGCCCGAAGGUCCCCCGCUUUCCCCCGUAGGGCGUAUGCGGUAUUAGCCUGGGUUUCCCCAGGUUAUCCCCCACUACCGGGCAGAUUCCUAUGCAUUACUCACCCGUCCGCCGCUCGCCACCAGGGAGCAAGCUCCCCGUGCUGCCGCUCGACUUGCAUGUGUUAGGCCUGCCGCCAGCGUUCAAUCUGAGCCAGAAUCAAACUCUGA